ACGAGCACCGGCGAUGGGGCCCGCCCGGAAGUCUGACUUCCGAACCGCCGCAAGGAUGAUGGCCUCUGCGAACGA
This 75-nucleotide non-coding RNA is filed under the name Mycobacterium sp. RNAcentral's name for it is "Fluoride sequence". It matches the Rfam family "Fluoride riboswitch aptamer (crcB RNA motif)". Lineage: Bacteria; Bacillati; Actinomycetota; Actinomycetes; Mycobacteriales; Mycobacteriaceae. The record is from RNAcentral. RNAcentral also lists the same sequence under 1 other name.